AGAAAAUGUCAUGUCUUAUGAAGUAGCCUGCUCUGAAAUGUACUCUAGAUAGGCUAAGGCAACAUGUAGGUUCAUAGUCUACUUCAAAGGAGAUGCUCCAAACAUCUGGGCAUGGAUGGAAAAUAAGAGUCAGAAUAAAAAAUGAGGCGUUUAUUCACAGAAGCAUAGCUGUCACUCUGCACACCCCCAAAGUGAAAGCACAAAGAGAAAACUCAAAGAAGGAGGUGAAAGUAGUUCACUGUGGUGCAGAAAUGGAGUUUGGAAAUUGUUUGCAGGGGAUGAAGCCAUGACUGACUGGGAACUAACAGCACCCUUUAGUCUUGAAAUGAAUGUUUCUCAUGGCUAAAGAUUUGAAGCUUUCCAAGUACAAACAAACAAACACACCAAGAAAUCAACUGUGGCAAAUGAAUUCAAGCAUACAGCUAUGUGAAGAAACGGAUUAAGGCAAGGAACAUCCAAUAUUUCCCCAAGGUCAUUCAUUACAAGGCCCUGCCUCAGAUAACAUCUGUAUGAAUAAAAAGAACAUCUGUAUGGUACUAUAGUUUAGU
This 548-nucleotide long non-coding RNA is filed under the name Phascolarctos cinereus (koala). RNAcentral describes it as "lncRNA (ENSPCIG00000019817.2)". The record is from RNAcentral. Lineage: Eukaryota; Metazoa; Chordata; Mammalia; Diprotodontia; Phascolarctidae.